UACCCCCUAGUGUGUGUUAAUGGUCUGAUCAGCCACUAUUUAAGUUCCCCUCAUGUCUUGUUUGUUAGGUCAGUUUGUGCUUGAGUUUGUUCUGUUACCACUUGAGUUGUAUUUUGUUAUGUUGACCUCAGUUUGGGCCCAAUUUAUCAUUUUUGGAUUCUUUUUGUUAAUAAAUUAAGAUUAUAUUUUGAAUUUUCAUCAACGUCUCUCUGGCUGGUCUAUGCAAAACCUUCACACUUGGUGUCAGAAGUGGGAUUCUUACCAGCCAGGAGUACAAAGUUUUUUUUUCCAUUACCAACCUUGAUGCAACAUGCAGCGUGGAGGAAGGAGUAAACGAGGCAAUUUUGUGGAGUCUCAAGGAACAGCAGGCCCUGAUGAGCGGACUGAUUGCACCGAAGCAGGAGCAUCUGGAGGACAUGUAGGUACCGAGGAGGAAGGGGGAGAAGAACCAACUUAUGCAGAUCUUGUCAGUAUUCUUCGUGCCCACAUGAGCCAGCAGGAGGCACAGAAUAGAAUGAUGAGAGAGGAAACAGCUCGCCAAGAUCAACGGUUCAAGACUCUCCAGCACCAAUUUAGUCUUUUGCAGUUAGAAGUGCAAGCUCGUACUUCUCCAACAUCUGAACCUGCUAAGCUGGAAAACUCUGACUCGGAGGAACCAGAACCACAGGAUAAAAACCUGCUGCCAGGAGACCGUAAAGUCAUCUUAACUUCAGGUCAGUUUGUGCUUGAGUUUGUUCUGUUACCACUUGAGUUGUAUUUUGUUAUGUUGACCUCAGUUUGGGCCCAAUUUAUCAUUUUUGGAUUCUUUUUGUUAAUAAAUUAAGAUUAUAUUUUGAAUUUUCA
This is a long non-coding RNA of Xiphophorus hellerii (green swordtail), 843 nucleotides long. RefSeq lists it as uncharacterized. Lineage: Eukaryota; Metazoa; Chordata; Actinopteri; Cyprinodontiformes; Poeciliidae. The transcript is spliced from 2 exons. The record is from RefSeq and is a predicted model, not a curated record.